Zingiber officinale is the source of this 925-nucleotide long non-coding RNA. RefSeq lists it as uncharacterized. The record is from RefSeq and is a predicted model, not a curated record. Lineage: Eukaryota; Viridiplantae; Streptophyta; Magnoliopsida; Zingiberales; Zingiberaceae. The transcript has 2 exons.
CAUUACUUUUGGGUUAAUAUUUGGUGAUCUUUAUAUAUUUGCAUAUGUUUAAUUCCAAUUUUGAUCAUAUUUCCCCAAACAAGAUUUUUAUGAGCUUUAUGAUGUUUUUCCAUCUUAUGCAUGAUUUAUUUCUCAUUAUGUGAAUUUGGUCUUGUAGGGUACUAAUGGGUUCAUGAUUCAAGUGGAGGCAUGGUUCAUUCAACCAAAUGGAGCCCAAAACCCUAACUGAUCUGAAAUUGAGCUUGGAUUCUAGUCAAACCCCAGCUGGACCAAAACCUAGGUAUAAAAGGGAAUUUUUGGCACGGUGAACAGUGAGCUCGCGCUACUAUUCAUCGUGCCAGUUUCUUGACGGCGCGGUCGCAGCUCCCUUCCUUCUUCCAAAUCUUCGAGCAACCUUGUCCUCAUCGGCGAGGAGUUCCUCAGCUUCCAGCAACCGGUUUCCGACCUUCAGCACCUCUCCAGCGAGCGUUUUUGCAGGCGAAGUACUGUAGCGGCGAGCUGCGAUUUUAAGCUCAGACCAGCGGCGUUCUUCUGCAUUUCAACGUUCCCAGCUUUCUUCAUCAGCUCACGACGCCAUUUCCAGAAAACGCAGCAGAGAACCAUUUCAGAACUGAACUUCCUGAAAUUUUGUGAGCUAAUGCAAGGAAAUCUGAAUCGUCUUGAAGCUUAAGAACACCAGAUCGAUUUCUGUUGGAGUGUUCUCUGCAGAUUCCUUGUGUGACGGUAAGGAGAAGACAAGUUUGGUUUAAGAUUUGGUGUAGGGAUGUUUAGUUUUUCUUGCAGUUGUUUCUUAGUUUAGAUUUCUUGUUUUUGCAAAUUUUGUUUUUGAAAUUGUUUGAAGAUAGCUUAGAGUCGUUUUUAGUUUAAUUCUUAUGCACGAAUCUGCUCUUUUCAUUUCUAAACUUGGCUGUUCUGUUUGGGUUUU